RNAcentral lists this ribosomal RNA (269 nucleotides) under uncultured prokaryote. Its description in RNAcentral is "partial 16S ribosomal RNA". It matches the Rfam family "Bacterial small subunit ribosomal RNA", at positions 524 to 792 of the family's 1533-position model. The record is from RNAcentral.
UACGUAGGGUGCGAGCGUUGUCCGGAAUUAUUGGGCGUAAAGAGCUUGUAGGCGGUUUGUCGCGUCUUCUGUGAAAAUCCGGGGCUCAACCCCGGACUUGCAGUGGGUACGGGCAGACUAGAGUGUGGUAGGGGAGACUGGAAUUCCUGGUGUAGCGGUGAAAUGCGCAGAUAUCAGGAGGAACACCGAUGGCGAAGGCAGGUCUCUGGGCCACUACUGACGCUGAGAAGCGAAAGCAUGGGGAGCGAACAGGAUUAGAUACCCCCGUA